UUGGCAAAAAGGUGUGCAUUAAAGUAAUGCAUGAAUAUAAAUUGAUUUUUUGGCUAUAAAAAGGCUCGUACAUACUCUUAUUUCCUAACACCAUUCAUCUUCAAAAUGGCUAAGGCAUCAAGAUUAGUUCCACUCUUUUCCACCACCAUGCUAAUCAUGAUCAUCCUAUUCUUGGGUUUGGAGAAAGCUAUUGGUGAGGAUGUUAAAAUGGAUACUCCUAAAUAUUUUACAAGAAGUUCUUUGGUGUCGCCUAAUUGUCCGGUUACUAUGAAAUUGAAAUCAUGUACCGACAACUUUAUUGGAGUUUGUGUUCCUGGUGUUGAUGAUGCUUGUUGCGCCAGUAUUUACAAAAACUCUGCCAAUGAAAGAGGAGGCUUUUGCAAAACUCUUCCUUAUAAACAACCACCACCACAUAAUUUUUGUCAUUGCUAUUGUUAGAUUUAAAUUUGGUAUCAAUGAAUAAAUAAUGCUACAAGUACUGCAAUUAUCUAUCAAAAA
Molecule: long non-coding RNA, 498 nt
Organism: Lathyrus oleraceus (garden pea)
Lineage: Eukaryota; Viridiplantae; Streptophyta; Magnoliopsida; Fabales; Fabaceae
Exons: 2
Source: RefSeq, a predicted model, not a curated record